GAUGAACGCUGGCGGCGUGCCUAAUACAUGCAAGUCGAGCGAACGGACGAGAAGCUUGCUUCUCUGAUGUUAGCGGCGGACGGGUGAGUACCACGUGGUUAACCUACCUAUAAGACUGGGAUAACUUCGGGAAACCGGAGCUAAUACCGGACAAUAUUUUGACCCGCAUGGUUCAAAAGUGAAAGACGGUCUUCCUUAUACUUAUAGCUGAAACCGCGCUGCAUUAGCUAGUUGGUAAGGUAACGGCUAACCAAGGCAUCACUGCAUAGCCGACCUGACAUGGUGAUCGGCAACACUGGAACGGAGACACGGUCCAGACUCCUACGGGAGGCAGCAGUAGGGAAUCUUCCGCAAUGGGCGAAAGCCUGACGGAGCAACGCCGCGUGAGUGAUGAAGGUCGUCGGAUCGUAAAACUCUGUUAUUAGGGAAGAACAUAUGUGUAAGUAACUGUGCUCAUCUUGACGGUACCUAAUCAGAAAGCCACGGCUAACUACGUG
Molecule: ribosomal RNA, 497 nt
Filed under: uncultured bacterium
Lineage: Bacteria
Description: partial 16S ribosomal RNA
Rfam family: Bacterial small subunit ribosomal RNA
Source: RNAcentral